Molecule: non-coding RNA, 469 nt
Organism: Pelobates cultripes (western spadefoot toad)
Lineage: Eukaryota; Metazoa; Chordata; Amphibia; Anura; Pelobatidae
Source: the annotation of a GenBank genome assembly
UUUUUAAAUGCAAGCUAUUGUGACACCAGAUAUGAGUGGUGGCACUGGGCACCGUAUCCACUGUGAGCUUAACACACCGGCUUUAAGGACACUGACUGCUAUUCAAUCUAUAACAGUGAAAAAAGUUUUUUGUUUUUAAAUGCAAGCUAUUGUGACACCAGUGAGUGGUGGCACUGGGCACCGUAUCCACUGUGAGCUUAACACACCCGCUUUAAGGACACUGACUGCUAUUCAAUCUAUAACAGUGAAAAAAGUUUUUGUUUUUAAAUGCAAGCUAUUGUGACACUAGAUAUGAGUGGUGGCACUGGGCACCGUAUCCACUGUGAGCUUAACACACCCGCUUUAAGGACACUGACUGCUAUUCAAUCUAUAACAGUGAAAAAAGUUUUUUUUUUUAAAUGCAAGCUAUUGUGACACCAGAUAUGAGUGGUGGCACUGGGCACUGUAUCCACUGUGAGCUUAACACACC